UACGUAGGGUGCAAGCGUUAAUCGGAAUUACUGGGCGUAAAGCGUGCGCAGGCGGCUAUGUAAGACAGGUGUGAAAUCCCAGGGCUUAACCUUGGAACUGCAUUUGUGACUGCAUAGCUAGAGUACGGUAGAGGGGGAUGGAAUUCCGCGUGUAGCAGUGAAAUGCGUAGAUAUGCGGAGGAACACCGAUGGCGAAGGCAAUCCCCUGGACCUGUACUGACGCUCAUGCACGAAAGCGUGGGGAGCAAACAGG
Molecule: ribosomal RNA, 253 nt
Filed under: uncultured bacterium
Lineage: Bacteria
Description: partial 16S ribosomal RNA
Rfam family: Bacterial small subunit ribosomal RNA
Source: RNAcentral